This 503-nucleotide small RNA is filed under the name Pongo abelii (Sumatran orangutan). RNAcentral's name for it is "retained intron". The record is from RNAcentral. Lineage: Eukaryota; Metazoa; Chordata; Mammalia; Primates; Hominidae.
AGUAAUGGUACUAUUUCAUUUCAUCCUAGUGAGAAAGGUGUGUGGAUUUUUUGGUGGUAAAUUGGAGUCCGUGUAUGUGUGAUCCUCCCAACAGAGUGAAUUUAAAUAUCUAAAGAUUACUGAGAAAGGAUAAAGUUGAAUAAAUCAUAAUGAACAAUGUUUAUGUUACUUUUUAAAGUUUUAACACUUGUAAUUGAGUAAAUCCUGAAACAAAGUAUAUUAUUAUGUUUGAUGGAUUUAAACUAUUGGUCAAAUCCUGUUCCAUGUGUACAUAGUGUUUCUUUCUUACUCUGUAACCCUUUUGCCAGAGAUAACAGGAAGAGAGCCUGGUUACCAUUUGGUGGAACAAUCCUGCUGGCUCAAGCCUCUGCCUAGAAAUUUGGGUCAUUCUCUUUUUUGGACAGUCUGGAAACCUCGACCUGUCUCCCAGUUGGUCGCACAGCAGGUUACUCAGCAGUUUGUGCCUCCUACACAGUCAAAGAAAGAGAAAAAAGAUAAAGUAG